This 65-nucleotide transfer RNA is filed under the name Dipodomys ordii (Ord's kangaroo rat). It matches the Rfam family "tRNA". Rfam says of the family: Transfer RNA (tRNA) molecules are approximately 80 nucleotides in length. Their secondary structure includes four short double-helical elements and three loops (D, anti-codon, and T loops). Lineage: Eukaryota; Metazoa; Chordata; Mammalia; Rodentia; Heteromyidae. The record is from Rfam by way of RNAcentral.
GGUGGCUUAGUGGUAGAGUGCUUGCCUUUCAUGCAGGAGGCUCUGGGUUCAAUUCCUCAGCACCA